CCGGUCGUAAUUGCAGAACCGAGAACUCUUCCUCGGGAUAGGUCAUUGCCUCAUUGGUUUAAGUGAGCUCAACAAAGACGGUAUGUUCGGUGAACCUAAUAGACACAAGAGAAUCCCCAAACUUGAAGCUCGGGUUGCUUCUUGCCACAUCGAAAACACUUAGCUCAUAAGCAGAGCCUUCUUGCAAGACAUGUCUGAAGGUGUUUAGCCGGUGAACGCUGAUCGACCCUUGUAAUAAGCGUAGCCUGCGAAUGGAGAGGAUGAAUCAGAGUAAACAAAAUUGCGUCUCUCUAUAACUGUAAUUAAUAAGUUGUAUAGCCGCAGGAACAGACCCGACUGUUCAUAUGAAGAAAAGGCAAAAAUUAAGAACAAUUAACAAAUCAUGAAAUACUUAUUACGUGAUUGUAAAAUUUAAAGAAUUUUCUAAAUAUCAAGAGAUUGAACCGAGAAGAUAAUUAUAAUAGUGGCAAAAGAUACUUACAUGCUCAUCAACUAAUAACAUCUCAACGCUCAUCUGCUGUCCCCUUUUGUUGAUGUUUUUCGCCUCCCAGAACCUCAAGAGGCGGACCUCCGCCGUGUUGAAACAUCUCCCGGCCCUCAAAUCAGCAAGAACAGUGUACGAAUUAGCCAUCUGAAUCGGUCGCUUGGAAAUCGAAUGUUUUGAGUUGGAGUUUCAGAUUUGGUGUUUGAGCUGAGGUUUUCAUGAUAGGAGUAUAGCUGCAGAUCCAGGCAGUUUUAGAGCUAACGAAAAGUCUCGCCGAAAACUCAAUGAAAGAGGAGUGGAGUAAUCAAGGAAAAAAGUAAAAUAAAUUACAUAUUAAAGGAGAUAUGAGACGUUACGGUUAGGAAAGGGAGUGGGUUGUGUCGGUGAAACUUUGUGAUGUCAAGAAUCCCCUGAAGAAGAAGAACACAGAAGAACCCUAAAUCUACGCUGGCUAUAAACGACCCUGAUCAUCUGGGCCUAAGACUGGGCUAUUUAUAAAACACACACUAAACCCACAUCACAAAAGAAGCUCAAAGCCACUUGAGUGAAACUCACUUACGCAAAAAAAAAACAACGGACAAUAAAGCACGCGCACAUCAAAGCAUAACGCGUGAGACACACUGCCUACCUACCAGGUCGACACGUAGCGAAAAACGCCGCUCCCUGUUUGCUGAGCUGGAUAGCCUAAGGAGAGAGAUAACUCUCCUUUUUAUAUAUAGAUAUUAUAUCUCUCUUAAACGGGCGAACACAAUUCUAGUUUUUUUAUCUUAAUUUAAAGUCUCUAAUAUAUAUCUAGCUUCUUUACUCAAACAUAUCUAAUCUAUUAAAAUAGAAGUCAAAUAUAAACUAACCUAAAGACUUACAAAUUAUUUACAAGUGACUGUCACUGAAGUAAUUAAUAAACAAAUCUUUUAAUUAUUCUUUAUCUUUUCAAAAUCAAUUUGCUAAAACAACUAUAACUAAAUAGGAUUCGGCUACAAUAAUUAUAAAUUGCUAGCUUGUAUUUUACCAGAAUGUUUUAAAUUCAAUUUGAAUAUCCCUUUUUGGCAAACUACUAAAUAUCGCUAUUCCAGAUAAUUGGUUGAGAUCUCCUUCUUCAGCUACAUACUCGUGAAACACAUACACACGCAUAUUUUUUUAUCUAUGUUUUCGUAUGACAAAUAAUCAAAUGCAAAUUCAAUAAGAUAAAGAUAUUAUAAAAAUGAAUAAUACAAUUGAUGGUUUGGAAAAUAAAUUAAUUAAUCCAUAUAAACUAUAAAAUUGUUGUGUUUCAUAUUAAAAACAAUUUAAUAUAUGUAAUGUUAAAAAUAUACACUAGCAACUAUAUAAAACAAAUACUAAUCGAUAUAAAUUAAAUCAAACACCCGCACGGGUGUGCGGAUCCAACUCUAGUUCAUCUUUAUGUUUCAUGUAUUCCUCAUAAUUAUCUUGUUUUGCAUGUAUUUUAUUUUCAUUGUUUGAUCUUUCCCUCCCAAAAUUAAGAUUUAGAUAUAUAGAUUAUAGAUGUAGUUUUUAUUAUUAUUUUAGCUGAAAAAUAUAGUUCUAAACAAUCUUUUAAGAAUGGAUGCUGCAUUUAAUGUUUUAAGAUACACAAAUUUAUCUGAUCUUCAAAGCUUUCAAAUCUUAACCAGAUACAACAGACUUCAUUAGCAUACUCAGUUUGUCGUCCAAAAUGCAUAAUGCCCUAACUGGUAAGUUUCAUUCUUCACUUUAAAUUUGUUUAAAUUUGUGUUACAAUUAUAUUUCCUUUUAUUGCAUAUCUGUAAUUUUUGUAUAUAAAUUUUAAUCAUAUCUUAAAAUUUAGUUUCAAAUGAAAUAUUUGUUCUUGUGUUUUGUGUUUUCUAUAUAUAUUUCACGUCAUCAAAACAUUUAGUCUUGAACCCGCAAUAAUAUACUUCAUUAGCAUAAUUUAUUUGCAGAAUUUACUAGGAUAGUUUAUUUAAGUCAUCAAGAUUACGGAAAAUAUAGCAAACUCCAUCCAAAUAUUUUAACAUCAAUUUUUUUUUGUAACAAAUUCUCAUUAUAAAUAUUUGAUUACAAGUUAUUUUGAAUUUAACUUGUAUGUGCUUUUAAAUAUUGACUUGUAACUUUUUAGGCUACUAGAAUAAAUUUGCAAAAGGCUAGUCGUGGUUGUCGUGACAUACCUAUUAGAAUUGGUAUGUAGUAUUAGAAUUGAAUUGUGACAUGUAGUAUUAGAAUUGAAUUACAGUAUGAUUUAUAGUUCGAUGUAACUUGCAGUAAAAAAUAUGUGGUAAAAAUAGUAAGUUUAUGUGGUAAGUUUUACAGUAAAAAUAAAAGUUAUCAUUUUAUUAAAACUUAUGACUGGUAACAUUUUUGAUGUAUAAGUUGCAGUAUGAGUUCUGAAUAAAAGAAUUAAAUAUAUAAAUUGAUAAAUAGAAUUUUUUUAUUAAGCUCUUUUUAAAAUUUAAGUGAGCUCAACAAAGACGGUAUGUUCGGUGAACCUAAUAGACACAAGAGAAUCCCCAAACUUGAAGCUCGGGUUGCUUCUUGCCACAUCGAAAACACUUAGCUCAUAAGCAGAGCCUUCUUGCAAGACAUGUCUGAAGGUGUUUAGCCGGUGAACGCUGAUCGACCCUUGUAAUAAGC
RNAcentral lists this long non-coding RNA (3091 nucleotides) under Brassica napus (rape). RNAcentral describes it as "long non-coding RNA (BNAP_LNC000409)". The record is from RNAcentral. Lineage: Eukaryota; Viridiplantae; Streptophyta; Magnoliopsida; Brassicales; Brassicaceae.